AACGAACGCUGGCGGCAUGCCUAACACAUGCAAGUCGAACGAGACCUUCGGGUCUAGUGGCGCACGGGUGCGUAACGCGUGGGAACCUGCCCUUAGGUUCGGAAUAACUCCCCGAAGGGGGUGCUAAUACCGGAUAAUGUCUUCGGACCAAAGAUCUAUCGCCUUUGGAUGGGCCCGCGUUGGAUUAGCCAGUUGGUAGGGUAAAAGCCUACCAAGGCGACGAUCCAUAGCUGGUCUGUGAGGAUGAUCAGCCACACUGGGAAUGAGACACGGCCCAGACUCCUACGGGAGGCAGCAGUGGGGAAUACUGGACAAUGGGCGAAAGCCUGAUCCAGCAAUGCCGCGUGAGUGAUGAAGGCCUUAGGGUUGUAAAGCUCUUUUACCCGGGAUGAUAAUGACAGUACCGGGAGAAUAAGCUCCGGCUAACUCCGUG
RNAcentral lists this ribosomal RNA (433 nucleotides) under uncultured bacterium. Its description in RNAcentral is "partial 16S ribosomal RNA". It matches the Rfam family "Bacterial small subunit ribosomal RNA", at positions 29 to 507 of the family's 1533-position model. The record is from RNAcentral.